Molecule: ribosomal RNA, 373 nt
Filed under: uncultured organism
Description: partial 16S ribosomal RNA
Rfam family: Bacterial small subunit ribosomal RNA
Source: RNAcentral
GUAGGUGGCAAGCGUUGUCCGGAAUUAUUGGGCGUAAAGCGCGCGCAGGCGGUCCUUUAAGUCUGAUGUGAAAGCCCACGGCUCAACCGUGGAGGGUCAUUGGAAACUGGGGGACUUGAGUACAGAAGAGGAAAGCGGAAUUCCAAGUGUAGCGGUGAAAUGCGUAGAGAUUUGGAGGAACACCAGUGGCGAAGGCGGCUUUCUGGUCUGUAACUGACGCUGAGGCGCGAAAGCGUGGGGAGCAAACAGGGAUUAGAUACCCUGGUAGUCCACGCCGUAAACGAUGAGUGCUAAGUGUUAGGGGGUUUCCGCCCCCUUAGUGCUGCAGCUAACGCGUUAAGCACUCCGCCUGGGGAGUACGGCCGCAAGGCUG